UACACUCCUACGGGAGGCAGCAGUGGGGAAUAUUGGACAAUGGGCGCAAGCCUGAUCCAGCCAUGCCGCGUGAGUGAUGAAGGCCCUAGGGUUGUAAAGCUCUUUCACCGGUGAAGAUAAUGACGGUAACCGGAGAAGAAGCCCCGGCUAACUUCGUGCCAGCAGCCGCGGUAAUACGAAGGGGGCUAGCGUUGUUCGGAUUUACUGGGCGUAAAGCGCACGUAGGGGGACUAUUAAGUCAGGGGUGAAAUCCCGGGGCUCAACCCCGGAACUGCCUUUGAUGCUAGUAGUCUUGAGUUCGAGAGAGGUGAGUGGAAUUCCGAGGGUAGAGGUGAAAUUCGUAGAUAUUCGGAGGAACACCAGUGGCGAAGGCGGCUCACUGGCUCGAUACUGACGCUGAGGUGCGAAAGCGUGGGGAGCAAACAGGAUUAGAUACCCCAGUAGUCCCA
RNAcentral lists this ribosomal RNA (449 nucleotides) under uncultured organism. RNAcentral's name for it is "partial 16S ribosomal RNA". It matches the Rfam family "Bacterial small subunit ribosomal RNA", at positions 332 to 797 of the family's 1533-position model. The record is from RNAcentral.